UUGCUGCGCGUGCCGGGCGGGGAAACGGCGCGAGCGGAGCGCCUGAGAACGUUCUCCGCGGGGGCGGCUCCGGGGCCUGAGCGGGCGCCGCCGCCACCUCAGCGGCCGGGGCCGGGCCGGAGGAGGCGGAGGAGGCUGCGGCCGUCCGAGACCUUCUCGACGUCCCCAGCUCCGGCCGGGAAGAGAAGAGAAAAGAAGAAGUGUUAGAGGAAGGAUAGUGAAGAAUUUUCCUGAAAUAAGCAAGGACGUUACUUCUCUUUCAGGGAAGUUUGACUGUUUACACUAAGAUGAUUGAGGAAAGUGGAAAUAAGCGGAAGACCAUGGCCGAGAAGAGGCAGCUGUUCAUAGAAAUGCGUGCUCAGAAUUUUGAUGUCAUACGACUAUCAACUUACAGAACAGCUUGCAAGUUACGAUUUGUACAAAAACGAUGCAACCUCCACCUGGUUGAUAUCUGGAACAUGAUUGAAGCCUUCCGAGACAAUGGCCUUAAUACACUGGACCAUACCACUGAGAUCAGUGUGUCCCGCCUCGAAACCGUCAUCUCCUCUGUCUACUACCAGCUGAACAAGCGCCUUCCUUCCACUCACCAGAUCAGCGUGGAGCAGUCCAUCAGCCUCCUCCUCAACUUUAUGAUUGCUGCAUAUGACAGUGAGGGCCGAGGCAAGUUGACCGUAUUUUCAGUUAAAGCUAUGUUAGCAACGAUGUGUGGUGGAAAAAUGCUGGACAAAUUGAGAUAUGUUUUCUCCCAGAUGUCAGAUUCCAAUGGCUUAAUGAUAUUUAGCAAGUUUGACCAGUUUCUGAAGGAAGUUCUGAAGCUCCCAACAGCUGUCUUUGAAGGGCCAUCUUUUGGUUACACAGAGCACUCAGUCCGCACCUGUUUUCCACAGCAGAAGAAGAUAAUGCUAAAUAUGUUUUUAGACACAAUGAUGGCCGAUCCUCCUCCCCAGUGCCUUGUCUGGCUACCUCUCAUGCACAGGCUCGCCCAUGUUGAGAAUGUCUUCCACCCCGUGGAGUGCUCCUACUGCCGCUGCGAGAGCAUGAUGGGCUUCCGGUACCGAUGCCAGCAGUGCCACAACUACCAGCUCUGCCAGAACUGCUUCUGGCGUGGCCAUGCCAGCGGCCCUCACAGCAACCAACACCAGAUGAAGGAGCACUCGUCUUGGAAAUCCCCUGCAAAGAAGCUGAGCCAUGCAAUUAGUAAAUCUUUGGGGUGCGUGCCCACCAGAGAACCCCCGCAUCCUGUUUUUCCUGAGCAACCAGAGAAACCACUUGACCUUGCAAAUAUAGUUCCCCCUCGCCCGCUGGCUAAUAUGAAUGACGCCCUGGUGAGCCACGCCUCCGCGUCCUCUGGAGCGCCCACCCCCACCAAGAGGUUACAGUAUAGCCAGGACAUACCCAGUCACUCGGCCGAUGAGCACGCGCUGAUAGCCUCCUAUGUGGCCCGUCUGCAGCACUGUGCACGUGUCCUGGAUAGUCCCAGCCGACUGGAUGAGGAACACCGACUUAUAGCUCGCUACGCUGCCCGGCUGGCUGCAGAAGCAGGAAACAUGACCCGUCCUCCCACUGACUUGAGCUUUAACUUCGAUGCCAACAAACAACAAAGACAGCUUAUUGCAGAACUGGAAAACAAAAACAGGGAGAUCCUGCAAGAGAUCCAGCGUCUCCGUCUGGAGCAUGAGCAGGCUUCCCAGCCCACCCCCGAGAAGGCGCAGCAGAACCCCACACUGCUGGCCGAGCUGCGGCUGCUGAGGCAGAGGAAGGACGAGCUGGAGCAGAGAAUGUCGGCACUGCAGGAGAGCAGGCGCGAGCUGAUGGUUCAGCUGGAAGGGCUGAUGAAGCUGCUGAAGGAGGAAGAGCAAAAGCAGGCAGCUCAGGCCACAGGGUCACCGCACACGUCGCCCACGCACGGAGGCGGCCGCCCGAUGCCCAUGCCGGUGCGCUCCACGUCUGCCGGCUCCACCCCCACGCACUGCCCGCAGGACCCACUGAGCGGAGUCGGGGGAGACCUGCAGGAGGCCUUUGCCCAAGGUACGAGGAGAAACCUCCGCAAUGACCUGCUGGUGGCCGCGGACUCCAUCACCAACACCAUGUCGUCCCUGGUGAAGGAGCUCCACUCAGAUUUAUUUAUUUGGCAGAGAGGGACAGCAAGAGAAGGAACACAAGCAGGGGGAGAGGGAGAAGCAGACUUCCUGCCGAGCAGGAAGCCUGGUACAGGGCUCCAUCCCAGGAGUCUGGGAUCAUGACCUGAGCGGAAGCAGAGGAAGGUGCAGAGGAAGAAAAAGAGAAGCAGCAGAAUGGGAAGGACAGAGGUUAGCAGAGUUGCUGAGCCAGAGAGGAAGCGCAGGGGGCAUGCGGCAAGCUGGCGUUGACGCGAGGAAGGCGAGGCCCUCCCCCAGAGGCACAUUCCUGUCCAUCCUCGGGCUGCACACCUGGACCAGGCUUGCAGGCUGCCAGACCUCACCGCCUGGCAGGGAGAAGGGAGCCCGGAGCCUGUGGGAAGUGGGAGGGGCCGCCCGCUGCCCGUGGGCCUCCCCCGUGCACAGCCCUGCAUGAACCGGCAUCUUCAUCACUCCGCUCGGGCCCGGGCUCAUCUCUGCAGCAGGAACUUUCCGGGAGGUCGAAAAGAGAAAAGAAACAGCACGAAUCUCC
Molecule: RNA transcript, 2649 nt
Organism: Mustela lutreola (European mink)
Lineage: Eukaryota; Metazoa; Chordata; Mammalia; Carnivora; Mustelidae
Gene: DTNB
Gene name: dystrobrevin beta
Exons: 23
Source: RefSeq, a predicted model, not a curated record